Molecule: ribosomal RNA, 1172 nt
Filed under: Bacillus subtilis
Lineage: Bacteria; Bacillati; Bacillota; Bacilli; Caryophanales; Bacillaceae
Description: bacterial SSU rRNA
Rfam family: Bacterial small subunit ribosomal RNA
Source: RNAcentral
GCUCCCUGGGAUGUUAGCGGCGGACGGGUCGAGUAACACGUGGGUAACCUGCCUGUAAGACUGGGAUAACUCCGGGAAACCGGGGCUAAUACCGGAUGGUUGUUUGAACCGCAUGGUUCAAACAUAAAAGGUGGCUUCGGCUACCACUUACAGAUGGACCCGCGGCGCAUUAGCUAGUUGGUGAGGUAAYGGCUCACCAAGGCAACGAUGCGUAGCCGACCUGAGAGGGUGAUCGGCCACACUGGGACUGAGACACGGCCCAGACUCCUACGGGAGGCAGCAGUAGGGAAUCUUCCGCAAUGGACGAAAGUCUGACGGAGCAACGCCGCGUGAGUGAUGAAGGUUUUCGGAUCGUAAAGCUCUGUUGUUAGGGAAGAACAAGUACCGUUCGAAUAGGGCGGUACCUUGACGGUACCUAACCAGAAAGCCACGGCUAACUACGUGCCAGCAGCCGCGGUAAUACGUAGGUGGCAAGCGUUGUCCGGAAUUAUUGGGCGUAAAGGGCUCGCAGGCGGUUUCUUAAGUCUGAUGUGAAAGCCCCCGGCUCAACCGGGGAGGGUCAUUGGAAACUGGGGAACUUGAGUGCAGAAGAGGAGAGUGGAAUUCCACGUGUAGCGGUGAAAUGCGUAGAGAUGUGGAGGAACACCAGUGGCGAAGGCGACUCUCUGGUCUGUAACUGACGCUGAGGAGCGAAAGCGUGGGGAGCGAACAGGAUUAGAUACCCUGGUAGUCCACGCCGUAAACGAUGAGUGCUAAGUGUUAGGGGGUUUCCGCCCCUUAGUGCUGCAGCUAACGCAUUAAGCACUCCGCCUGGGGAGUACGGUCGCAAGASUGAAACUCAAAGGAAUUGACRGGGGCCCGCACAAGCGGUGGAGCAUGUGGUUUAAUUCGAAGCAACGCGAGAACCUUACCAGGUCUUGACAUCCUCUGACAAUCCUAGAGAUAGGACGUCCCCUUCGGGGGCAGAGUGACAGGUGGUGCAUGGUUGUCGUCAKCUCGUGUCGUGAGAUGUGGGUUAAGUCCCGCAACGAGCGCACCCUGAUCUAGUUGCCAGCAUUCAGUGGCACUCUAGUGACUGCCGGUGACAACCGGAGAGUGGGGAUGGACGUCAAUCAUCAKGCCUUAUGACCGGCUACACACGGUGCCUACAAUGAACGGAACAAAGGGGGCGA